Molecule: ribosomal RNA, 629 nt
Filed under: Cunninghamella echinulata
Lineage: Eukaryota; Fungi; Mucoromycota; Mucoromycetes; Mucorales; Cunninghamellaceae
Description: eukaryotic LSU rRNA
Rfam family: Eukaryotic large subunit ribosomal RNA
Source: RNAcentral
GUUGGAACCUGGUGGGCCUAGCCUACCCGGAUUGUAAACUAAAGUUUUUGGGUCGUUUAGUCAGCCAGAUAAAUAAGUCCUCUGGAAAGGGGCGACAUAGAGGGUGAAAUCCCCGUCUUUGGUCUGAGCAUGAUUAGGCGUUUGGCCUGGAAACGAAGAGUCAGGUUGUUUGGGAAUGCAGCCUAAAAUGGGAGGUAAAUCUCUCCUAAAGCUAAAUAUUGACGAAAGACCGAUAGCGAACAAGUACCGUGAGGGAAAGAUGAAAAGCACUUUGAAAAGAGGGUCAAAAAGUACGUGAAAUUGCUGAAAGGGAACCGUAUAAAAUCAGACUUACUGGUAGGUAAUCAACCUUCCUCUCGGGGAGGGUGCACUUGCCUGCUAUUGUAUGCCAGCAAUACUUUGGUUGGGAGGAAAAAAGUAGGAGAAAUGUAGCCUGGGUUUCGGCUUAGGUGUUAUAGUCUCUUGCAAAAUACUCUCGGCUGGAGUAAGGAACGCAGCAAACCGUAAGGCGAAGAUUUUGGGCGCUUGGAGUUAAUAGUUGGAGAAUUUCUGCUUCGGGUGGUGCUUCAGCUAUUGAUUUUAACUCGCUUAAAGUUCUUUUAAUUUGCUUAGGUUGUUGGCUUAAUGAU